Molecule: ribosomal RNA, 250 nt
Filed under: sludge granule bacterium 5
Lineage: Bacteria
Description: partial 16S ribosomal RNA
Rfam family: Bacterial small subunit ribosomal RNA
Source: RNAcentral
UUUCACAUUUGUAUCUAUUCUCCAUGCGCGGAAAACAAUGAGGUGAGAUUGUAACGUUGCACUGGCUUGGGGCACGGGGGGCCUACGGGAGGCAGCAGUGGGGAAUAUUGCUCAAUGGGCGCAAGCCUGAUGCAGCCACGCCGCGUGUUGAAGAAGGCCUUCGGGUUGUAAAGUACUUUCAGCGGGGAGGAAGGCGAUAAGGUUAAUAACCUGUCGAUGACGUACUCCGUAGAAGAGAAAAGCAUUUAGG